GAUGAACGCUGGCGGCGUGCCUAAUACAUGCAAGUCGAGCGAACAGAUGAGGAGCUUGCUCCUCUGACGUUAGCGGCGGACGGGUGAGUAACACGUGGAUAACCUACCUAUAAGACUGGGAUAACUUCGGGAAACCGGCGCUAAUACCGGAUAAUAUAUUGAACCGCAUGGUUCAAUAGUGAAAUACGGUUUUGCUGUCACUUAUAGAUGGAUCCGCGCCGCAUUAGCUAGUUGGUAAGGUAACGGCUUACCAAGGCAACGAUGCGUAGCCGACGUGAGAGACUGAUCGGCCACACUGGAACUGAGACGCGGUCCAGACUACUACGAGAGGCAGCAGUAGGGAAUCUGCCGCAAUGGUCGAAAGCCUGACGGAGCAACGCCGCGUGAGUGAUGACAGUCUUCGGAUCGUAAAAAUCUGUUAUUAGGGAAGAACAAAUGUGUAAGUAACUAUGCACGUCUUGACGGUACCUAAUCAGAAAGCCACGGCUAACUACGUG
RNAcentral lists this ribosomal RNA (497 nucleotides) under uncultured bacterium. RNAcentral's name for it is "partial 16S ribosomal RNA". It matches the Rfam family "Bacterial small subunit ribosomal RNA", at positions 28 to 507 of the family's 1533-position model. The record is from RNAcentral.